RNAcentral lists this ribosomal RNA (111 nucleotides) under Lactobacillus delbrueckii. Its description in RNAcentral is "partial 23S ribosomal RNA". The record is from RNAcentral. Lineage: Bacteria; Bacillati; Bacillota; Bacilli; Lactobacillales; Lactobacillaceae.
AGGCGGCACGGUGAUGCCUUGGCCUGGAAGCCGAUGAGGACGCGACUAACCCGAAGUCUUCGGGGAGCCGUAGUAGGCUUUGAUCCGGAGGUCUCCGAAUGGGGAACCCAU